AAUAGCAUUUCGACGCCAUUUUGGCUCGAAAUGCUAAUUCGGUGAAUUUUCUCAUCGCGAUACUUUGUUAAUCUAAUGACUUUAAUUACACCGUUCUCCCAGUUUGCAUGGAGGAGAAAAACACACAUAGCCCCUCAUCCGGAAUGCUCCCGAGGAGAAUCUAACCGGACUAACAAUCAGGAGCCGGUCUCUUGAUUGUGCAGGAUUCGAUGAGUCUAUGUAUAAAAAAGGACAGCGGACAUCAUCGUUUACCUGUUAAAAAACUCCCCCUAUUCAGCAUCUCCGCAAGCUACAUUGGGCACACCUCGGAACCGCCCCGGCGAUAUUUCAUCAGGGUGCACUCAAGUUGUAUACGCUCCCACCUCCAUGAUAUUCGAAGCCCGAGCUAAAAGAGCCCUUUGCCUCUUCAGGGCCUGACGCUCCCAUUCGGCCCGCUCCUUCUUGCGAGAAGGAGACCGCAUGACGGUCUCGCAGAAAUCCGCGAGAGCUGUCCAACACGCAGCGGAGCACAUAGCUGCCCUGACAAUGGAGCCGUACGUCCUGUCAAGGACAUCGAGCCCCAAUCGCUCAAAAAGUGACGUCCUCUCCGCAGCCCAAGAUGGGCAAAACAAUAGCAUGUGCAUCGCCGUAUCCGCAGUCGCACGAAUGCGCACAAAUCGGCGACGUGUUACGCUGUAUCUCAAAACAGUAGACCUCAAAGCAUCCAUGACCCAUUAAAAUCUGGAUCAUGCGAAUUAUAUGAAUAUACUAAAAAUAAAGAAUAGGCCCCUCCAUCGUCCAUUUUUUGAGAACGCAACGACAUUUUCUUCGUCUAUUUGAUUUUAACACGAUCUUUGACAUAGAGAUUUGACACAAAGAUUGGGAAAUUUUUUGGUUGAUUUCUUAAAUCAUCGUAUUCCAAUCAGUGUUUGAAUUAUUUUGGAAGCGCGCUGCCGUAAAAUGUCCAACACUUUCGCUCCAAGAUGGAAAUGCCUUAAGGGUUGCAGAUUAUAAUCUGGCUACCAAGUUAGCCUGGGAGGGGAAUAUGGACAUACAAUUUAUUGGAAAAAAAUCAGAGUUUUUAAACUCAUCCUUUAACAAAAUACACGACAAAAUCGGAGAAAUGCAAUAUAGACUUUGCAAUAAUACAUUCCAAUAAGUCCUUGGCAUCGGAACUGUGGAAUUUUGUGAUGCGUUCAUUGAAUAACAGAGAAUGCGGUACUUUAGAAGCUGCGGACACACUGUUAGGAAUCCCUUGUAUGGUACAGAUAGUGAUAUCAUUGUCAAAUGGAUUGACGUUAAUGAGAUGAGAAACAGAAAAGUUAAAACAUUUAAUGAAAUUAAAGCUCUCGAUGAAAAUUCUACGAAUAUUUAUUGUCCAUCGCUCAUCGAUGAUUACUAUUCAAGCAAAUCUAAGGAAUUAGAAUCAUUUAAUUUGUACGAUUUUGCCAGAUUUUGGGAAAUUCGAAACAGAUGCCAAAAAAUGACGAAGUCAAGUGUUAUAAACUUGUAUCAGUUUAUUUAAAAAAAAAAUGAAAAAAGUGUUAUUUAAUUAAUCAUUAUCGAUUUAAUGUAAAAAUUGAACUCGAAAAAUAUUUUUACUCGUUGCUCCUUUUGUUUAAACCGUGGAGAGAUUUGAGUGAAAUCAAAGGUGCAUACGAGACUUACACGGAUGCCUUUAAGAAUUCAAUGUCUGCUUUGACGAAGGCGAUGAAAUUCACAAAAGGCUCGAAGAAAUACAGCUUUUGUGUGCGUUGCUGAAUUAAUCGAGAAGCGCGAAAAUGAUCUGAAAACAGCAGAUAGAGACAAAUUCGAUGACAAUGAACUGGAUUGCAAUCCGAUAGAGGCUGACAACGCGAUGAAAGAUCUGAUAGAUUUUGGUAAGAUUGACACCCCGAUUAAUUUAUCGCAAAUGAUGCGCGAUUGAAGGCGACGAAGGCCAGAAAAGUCUUCGAUAGAAUAUGUCAAGUUUUACAAAAUAAAAAUCAGAUUCUGCGACUGUACAUAAGUAGCGAGGGUGAUACAGGAAAAAGUUUCUUAUUGAAACGAUUAAACAUUGGAUCAGAUACAUUUAAAAAAAGCGACUGCCAUAUCUGCUCCCACGGGUAUCGCGGCAUUCAAUAUCAAUGGCUUGACGAUCCAUAAAAUGUUUCAACUACUCGUUACCCAUGAAUCUAUGGCAAAAUAUACGACUAAAGAGUGUCGAAUUAAAGACUGUCGAAUUAUUUAUAAUUGAUGAAGUAUCUAUGAUUUUGAAUGUGACAUUUAUGUUUAUCAAUCUACGAUUAUGUGAAAUUGAUACGACAGAUGAUAGUUUCUUUGGCAGAAAACACAUUCUUUUGUUUGGAGACUUGUUGCAGUUUCCCUCUGUAAAAGAAACAAUCUCCGAAAAUAUCUCGAUCAGAAAUUCACAAGUAUUUAAGUACCAUGGAUGGAUCUGAUUCUUGGAGAGGAUUGUUCGAUUGCAACGAACUCUUGAUUAAUAUACGACAAAGAUGCGACAACAUAUAUCGUAAUAUAUAAUACUUUCUAAAAUACGCAUAAGUUUGGUAACGGAUUUCGAUAUCAAUGUUCUUCAGUCGAGAAAAAUCUAUUUUAAAGGAAGUAGUUGCGACGAAAGAUUGAAUAAACUUUGCACUUAUAUGAAUCAAUUACCAGUUGAUACAAUAUGUUUAUUACGCACGUGAUAUUUGUGCAAGGUUUUGAACAUGGCAAUGCUCGAUAAAAUUGACGGUAAUAAAAUUGUACUGAUAGCAGAAGAUGAUGCCAAUUGUGCUCCAGCAUUGAAAAAAAGAGUGCACAAAAUUUUGGAAAACAAAGAUGAUAAAGUUUUGGAAACAGCUUGAAAGAGUAAUAGCGAUUAAAAUUGGCGCUAAAUUAAGUGAUGAUUCGACGAGACAUUGAUGUAACUUUGGGACUUGUCAAUGGAAUGAUAGGCAAUGCAGUUAAUCGCUCUGUUGAUGGAAAUCAUAUUGAUUCCAUUAAAAUAGUUAUUUCGGAUAACAAAGAAAUCACAAUAACGAAAGUAGAUAUUAAAUUCGAAAUAUUUCACAAAAUGAUGGUACAUCGGAAAUAAUUUCCAUUGUCUCUCAGUUAUAAUUAUACACUUAGGAAUAACUAUACACAAAAGUCAAGGAAUUAGGAAAGAUGGAAGGGCCCAUUCUUUAUUUUAAGUAUAUAUUCAUAAUGACACGCGUUACAUCAACUGGGACGUAAUGUCAGUUGUAUAACGACACGUUGCAAUAAUGACCAUCAGUACACAUCCACUAGAAAUCUGUACAUAUAUUUUUUUUAUCUCUUUAUCGACCAGUUUUAAAAUCGAUCUAUUUUAAAUAUAUAUAUACUUGUCAUUUUGUAAUUAUAACAUUGAGAAUGACCUUAUCGGGCUCGAAACGUCGUUUGUUAUUUUUAAUUUGGCUUAGUUCUUUAUACUUAUAUGCAAACUUUGAAUAGUCUUUUUAUCAUAUUUCGGUAACUUUUACUUAAUAUUAUUCCUUUUCUUCAAUUUGGAAUUAUUACUUAUUAACAUAGACCUGCGGCAUACGAUACUUGUCUUCCCACUACAUUUCUUGCAACCUUCGGAAGGUUAAGCAGUCACCUAUCUCACGUUAAGAAGUUAUGAAAAAUGGAAUAGGGAAUUCAACUCUGAUGAUGCUGAUUAUGACAUAUUAGUCAAUGUAAUGAUCCUUAGUGACCAUCGAAAGACAAUUCACUUCCGAUAACCUUGAUUCUUCCACACAUUAUGAAAAUCAUCAAUCUUCGAACCAUCAAUCUUUGAACAAUCUUCGGAGAAUUGUAGCAGUCACCCAUCACGCAUUACAAAGCUAUCUAAAAAAAUUAAAACGAUUCUUACUCAUAUUAUUAAACUAUUUAACUCAUUAUUAUUUAACUCAUAUUAUUAUUAAAGUCAUGACCCUGAAUGACCAUCGGACACUUUCAACAGACGGGGGUGAGAGAGGACGAAAGAGAGUGAGAUAGAGCGAAAAAGAAAGGGGUGGUAAGGGUGGGUGGUGGAGGAGGAGGGGGUGAAGUUGGUCGAAGUUGGGGGAGAUGUGAGUGAAAGGUGAGAGAGAAGAAAGAUGCAUAUGAUUGCGGACAAAAAAGAAGGAGAAGAAGGAGAUGUUACUUCAUUUUUCAUGAAAAUCAUCAUUUUUCGACCGCUUGUAUGCCUAGAACGGCUUGACCGAUUUUUAUUUUUUUUGACUCAAAUUAUUCGUGGCGAUGCCGCCUUUCAGGAUAUGUUACGUGCGAUUCAAAAUUUUUUAUAUUUUAGUAGUUCUGUACCCCCCCCCCUCCCAAAAAAAUGGACUUUGGUGGCUCGGGAUAAAAAACUUUGUAGUGUCUUUAUGUCUUUUACUUUUUUUUUAACAUAGCCAGAGACACUACCAUGUCUCCUGAUAUAGGUAUAGAUAUUACGUAGAAAAUGUAUUUAGGUAUAAGUACAGAUACAUUUUUUUAUAAUUACCUAAGUAUAGAUACAGAUAUAAGAAAAAAGUAUCCGAAAAUUUAGGUACUUUUUAGGUACUUAAAAAAAAAGAAAAAAAGAAAAAUGAGAAAGUAGGAAAAAAUAGAGAAAACGAAAAG
This 4563-nucleotide long non-coding RNA is filed under the name Acromyrmex echinatior (Panamanian leafcutter ant). Its description in RNAcentral is "uncharacterized LOC105151248". Lineage: Eukaryota; Metazoa; Arthropoda; Insecta; Hymenoptera; Formicidae. The record is from RNAcentral.